RNAcentral lists this ribosomal RNA (454 nucleotides) under uncultured bacterium. RNAcentral describes it as "bacterial SSU rRNA". It matches the Rfam family "Bacterial small subunit ribosomal RNA", at positions 340 to 785 of the family's 1533-position model. The record is from RNAcentral.
UACGGAAGGCAGCAGUGGGGAAUAUUGCACAAUGGGCGCAAGCCUGAUGCGGCCAUGCCGCGUGUAUGAAGAAGGCCUUCGGGUUGUAAAGUACUUUCAGUCGUGAGGAAGGUGUUAAGGUUAAUAACCUUAGCAAUUGACGUUAGCGACAGAAGAAGCACCGGCUAACUCCGUGCCAGCAGCCGCGGUAAUACGGAGGGUGCGAGCGUUAAUCGGAAUUACUGGGCGUAAAGGGCACGCAGGCGGUUAAUUAAGUUGGAUGUGAAAUCCCCGGGCUUAACCUGGGAAUGGCAUUCAAGACUGGUUAGCUAGAGUCUUGUAGAGGGGGGUUAGAAUUCCAUGUGUAGCGGUGAAAUGCGUAGAGAUGUGGAGGAAUACCGGUGGCGAAGGCGGCCCCUGGACAAAGACUGACGCUCAUGUGCGAAAGCGUGGGGAGCAAACAGGGAUUAGAUAC